GAUGAACGCUGGCGGCGUGCCUAAUACAUGCAAGUCGAACGAGGUGCUUUUGUAGCAAUACGAAAGUAUCCUAGUGGCGAACGGGUGAGUAACGCGUUGGUGACCCUACCCCAAAGUGUGGGAUAACAGUCCGAAAGGAUUGCUAAUACCGCAUGUGGUUAUUGGAUUUAGAAACUGAUAACUAAAGGAGCAAUUCGCUUUGGGAGGGACCUGCGUCCCAUCAGCUAGUUGGGAGGUAACGGCUCACCAAGGCUACGAC
This 259-nucleotide ribosomal RNA is filed under the name uncultured bacterium. RNAcentral describes it as "partial 16S ribosomal RNA". It matches the Rfam family "Bacterial small subunit ribosomal RNA", at positions 28 to 280 of the family's 1533-position model. The record is from RNAcentral.